GACGAAACGCUGGCGGCGUGCCUAAUACAUGCAAGUCGAGCGGGGAUUAUGCUUGAUCGCUUCGGUGAGACGGCAUAUAUCCUAGCGGCGGACGGGUGAGUAACGCGUGGGUAAUCUACCUCGUAGUUCGGGAUAACAGGCCGAAAGGCUUGCUAAUACCGGAUGAGUUCAUGCUUAUGCAUAUAGGCAUGAAGAAAGGGCUAGCCCGCUAUGAGAUGAGCCCGCGUCCCAUUAGCUUGUUGGUGGGGUAACGGCCUACCAAGGCAACGAUGGGUAGCCGGCCUGAGAGGGUGUACGGCCACACUGGGACUGAGACACGGCCCAGACUCCUACGGGGGGCAGCAGUAGGGAAUUUUCGGCAAUGGGCGAAAGCCUGACCGAGCGACGCCGCGUGAGGGACGAAGGCCUCGGUUGUAACUCUGUCUGGGGGGAGAACGGACGGUACCCCGGACGGAACGCCCGGCCGUACUACGUAGCAGCAGCCGCGGUAAGAGUAGUAA
This 500-nucleotide ribosomal RNA is filed under the name uncultured bacterium. RNAcentral's name for it is "bacterial SSU rRNA". It matches the Rfam family "Bacterial small subunit ribosomal RNA", at positions 32 to 532 of the family's 1533-position model. The record is from RNAcentral.